AUGCCCUCGGACAUUGUCGUGCGUUGUUGUCUCGCAGGCACUGA
RNAcentral lists this ribosomal RNA (44 nucleotides) under Tovomita choisyana. RNAcentral's name for it is "partial 26S ribosomal RNA". The record is from RNAcentral. Lineage: Eukaryota; Viridiplantae; Streptophyta; Magnoliopsida; Malpighiales; Clusiaceae.